GAUGAACGCUGGCGGCGUGCCUAAUACAUGCAAGUCGAGCGAACAGAUGAGGAGCUUGCUCCUCUGACGUUAGCGGCGGACGGGUGAGUAACACGUGGAUAACCUACCUAUAAGACUGGGAUAACUUCGGGAAACCGGAGCUAAUACCGGAUAAUAUAUUGAACCGCAUGGUUCAAUAGUGAAAGACGGUUUUGCUGUCACUUAUAGAUGGAUCCGCGCCGCAUUAGCUAGUUGGUAAGGUAACGGCUUACCAAGGCAACGAUGCGUAGCCGACCUGAGAGGGUGGUGGGCCACGCGGGAGGGGGGACGGGGACAGGAGUCCAGGGGGGGGAGCGAGUGGGGACUCUUCGGCAGGGGGGGAAGGCUGGGCGGGGCAGGGCGGGGGGGGGGAUAGGGGUGUUGGGAUGGGAAAAUUGUUUUAUGGGGGAAAAAAAAUUGUGAAAGGAACUGGGCAGGUCUGGAGGGUACCUAAUAAAAAGGCCACGGCUAACUCCGUG
Molecule: ribosomal RNA, 497 nt
Filed under: uncultured bacterium
Lineage: Bacteria
Description: partial 16S ribosomal RNA
Rfam family: Bacterial small subunit ribosomal RNA
Source: RNAcentral